GCGUGGCGGCACGGUUGGGAGAGCACUCGCCCGGGAGGCGAGGUGUCCCGGGUUCGAGUCCCGGACUGGCUGCACA
This 76-nucleotide transfer RNA is filed under the name Dreissena polymorpha. Its description in RNAcentral is "tRNA-Pro". Lineage: Eukaryota; Metazoa; Mollusca; Bivalvia; Myida; Dreissenidae. The record is from RNAcentral.